This 385-nucleotide ribosomal RNA is filed under the name uncultured Prorocentrum. RNAcentral describes it as "partial small subunit ribosomal RNA". It matches the Rfam family "Eukaryotic small subunit ribosomal RNA", at positions 30 to 432 of the family's 1831-position model. The record is from RNAcentral. Lineage: Eukaryota; Dinophyceae; Prorocentrales; Prorocentraceae.
GCUUGUCUCAAAGAUUAAGCCAUGCAUGUCUAAGUUUAAAUAGUAAACAGUGAAACUGCGAAUGGCUCAUUACAUCAGUUUUAACAUACAUGAUAGUCACUUCUACUUGGAUAACCGUAGUAAUUCUAGAGCUAAUACAUGCGUCAGAACCCAACUUUACGGAAGGGUCGUGUUUAUUAGAUACAAAACCAACAUCUCGUUGGUGAUUCAUAAUAACCAAGCGAAUCGUCGGUUUACCGACGAUAGAUCGUUCAAGUUUCUGACCUAUCAGCUUUGGUCGGUAGGGUAUUGGCCUACCGAGGCAAUGACGGGUAACGGAGAAUUAGGGUUCGAUUCCGGAGAGGGAGCCUGAGAAACGGCUACCACAUCUAAGGAAGGCAGCAGG